Molecule: long non-coding RNA, 709 nt
Organism: Dama dama (fallow deer)
Lineage: Eukaryota; Metazoa; Chordata; Mammalia; Artiodactyla; Cervidae
Exons: 2
Source: RefSeq, a predicted model, not a curated record
CCAUCAGGGUCUCAAGCAAAAGAACAGUUUGACUUGGUCUUGGGAAAUGGCUCAGACUCCAUCUUGGAGGAAUCCCUGGAAAAGAUUAAACAAAGAAGGCCCAAAGAAUAUUUACAAUAUUGUUUGAAUACUCAAGACAUGGGGGGACUCCACCAUCUGUUCUCUGAUAACAGACUUACUACGAAACAGGAAUGAUGGUUUCCUGAGAACAAAUGCUUCAAUAUCAAGACAUGCAAAGAUACCACUUGGCUGCCAAUAACAAACUGCUCCAAAGUUACAAACGCAGACCAAGUGUUGGUAAGUAAUAUUAGUUAUGAUGAUGAUUUUGUGGCAUACUAAAAAUGUCAGAUAGAUUUUUAGCAUUAUGAGGGUACUAUAGAUAGUAGAAGGUAAUUGAACCAAAAUUAUGCUCAAGAGAAAUUUUGAAGUAAAUGUGCAAAUUAGGCUACCUAGUAUAAACUAGAACUGCCUAAGUCAUUCUGUUCCUUAGUAAAAGAUAAUCACAUAAAUCAUUUAUACAGCAGAGAGUUUGUUAUUAGUUUCUGAGAUCUAUUUCGGUCAUCUACAACUGGUGGUGUGGAAAGGAAAAGAAGGCUGCAGAGACUGAACAAACAGCAUGCACUGUGGUAUCCUUUAUUUAAAAAUUGUGAGCUAACUACAGUUGUAGUGUUCUCAUUUACCAUUCUGAUGGCAUAAUAAACUGGGAGAA